UUGUGUUUUGAUUCUCUCUCUCUCUCUCUCUCUCUGCCGAACUGUCGUCAGGAUGGCUACAUGCUAGUCUUUUGCUGAAAAUGUUAUUGUUUUAUGUGAGAGAGUCAGAUAUUUAAGCGUCUGAGUUUCAUCAUCAGCGCAGAGAGCGAAGCUUUUUGCCGUCGGUUGAUUAGCGGACUGUGUGUUUUGUGACGAAAACGGAAGAGAAACCUUGGACAGAUGAGAGCCGUGUAUUCUGCCUUGUGUCCGGAGUGUGUGUGUGAUGUGAUGUGAUGCUUGAGCCUCUGGCCGGGUCUUUUUUCCUUUUUAUGGAUUCCUGGGUUGAGAUCUGCUGGGAUUCCUCCCAUUUUGUAAAGGUAGAAGGGAACCUCAGUAGUCGUGGCAAGCUACCCAAAACAGAGACUGGGAUUUAUUCUGUGGCUGGAUUUGUUGUUAACUGUUGUUGACAUCUUGUGUGUCGCUGACAAUUUAAAUUACUUUUGUCUAUUUUUAUUUUUUUUGUUUUGUUCUUUAAGUCAACACAAUAUAAUACCUUUAAAACAUAUUUGUUGGUUGUGUGAAUUCUUUAUUCUGUCACUCAAUGCAUAUUGCUAAUACCCCUUUCUCCUAUAGCGAUCUAGACUGGUUUCCUAGCCCAUGAGGUAAUUAAUGCACUGAUAGAAUAAACAUAUCUGUAUCUCCCAGUCUUUAUCAUAAACAGUUAUAGUUGAGGUGGGUUACAGAAGCUUAGGGCAAUGGUCUCCCUUUCCGUGGCAACGCCAAGUUUCCCUAGUUGUCCUUGUUUCAGCGUAAUGCGAAACCAUUAGAAAAACAAAUCCAAACAGUGAAAAAAAUAAAAAAAUCAAACAUUUAGUGUACAUAUCAUACUAUGAUAUGAAGUUAACAUCUUCAUAUCAUAAAAUGUUAACUUUAUUUGUUGGUUUUAUAUUAAGGGACAUUAAACAAUGGACAAAAAAAUCUGGAAAUAGGCUUAUCUCAGCAUAAUGCGCACAAAAAAAAGACACCAAAAGGAAAACACAUC
Solea senegalensis (Senegalese sole) is the source of this 1021-nucleotide long non-coding RNA. RefSeq lists it as uncharacterized. The record is from RefSeq and is a predicted model, not a curated record. The transcript has 3 exons. Lineage: Eukaryota; Metazoa; Chordata; Actinopteri; Pleuronectiformes; Soleidae.